This is a transfer RNA of Phytophthora infestans T30-4, 73 nucleotides long. It matches the Rfam family "tRNA". From Rfam's summary of the family: Transfer RNA (tRNA) molecules are approximately 80 nucleotides in length. Their secondary structure includes four short double-helical elements and three loops (D, anti-codon, and T loops). The record is from Rfam. NCBI's taxonomy places the organism in Eukaryota, Oomycota, Peronosporomycetes, Peronosporales, Peronosporaceae.
ACCCGUCUAGCUCAGUUGGUAGAGCGCUGGCCUUUUAAGCCAGUGGUCGUGGGUUCGAGCCCCACGGGGGGUG